RNAcentral lists this long non-coding RNA (380 nucleotides) under Homo sapiens (human). RNAcentral describes it as "long non-coding RNA NONHSAT137038.2". Lineage: Eukaryota; Metazoa; Chordata; Mammalia; Primates; Hominidae. The record is from RNAcentral.
GUGGAAGCAUUUCCGUCAUUCUGAGACAGUUGGGCUGAGGCGGUUGGUCGCCUCUCUCUCUCUCUCUCUCUGUUCCUCAUCUACAUUUUGAUUGGUUUAUUUUUGUAUUGUUUUCUUUCAGUUUCCGAUAGGUGGAGAACAUUCUGCUAAUAGCUUUUCUUCCAGUCCAUUUGUGGCUUGUUAAAGGUGUCUGGAACUGGAUUACAGUUUCUUCUGAUUGAACGCAGCCUUUGAAUACUGCCUGGCCUAUCGCGAAUACAUCCCUGCCUUGGACAAGACGCAGCUGAAUCUCUAAGUGAUGCUACUGCCACUACCACCCCAGAGCUCCAAACCUGUGCCUAAGAAAUCUCAGUCCAGCAAAAUUGUGCCCAGUCAUCAUG